RNA transcript from Bombus impatiens (common eastern bumble bee), 2416 nucleotides. RefSeq lists it as uncharacterized. Lineage: Eukaryota; Metazoa; Arthropoda; Insecta; Hymenoptera; Apidae. The transcript has 2 exons. The record is from RefSeq and is a predicted model, not a curated record.
CGAAUUAAUGGCGUUUCUUGAAGGUUCGUGUCGUUGUAACAUACUUUGUCUUGUUUAAUAUGUAUUUAACGAACAAACGACAAUCUAAUUGCCCGCCUAAUCUAUUUUGUGGCAGCAAGGGUUAGAAAGGUCUUCGUGGAGCAAUCUGUCGGAGGAAUUGUCAUAAUUCCUAGACUUUUUUUUCGAUCUUUCGAAAUCGCUUCCUGUUAUUCGAUCAUUGACCCUUUUCUUUCUAUCGGGCAAUUGCCUGGAUUUUGUUCCUCGCGGUAGUCGGUGUAUCGGAAGUGAAACGCGGCGAGUCUGCUUCGUUACAGGUCCGCGCUCCACUUUGAGAAUCGAUAAGCUCUACUGGUCUCUAAAUGAAAUUCUACGACGAAGAAGGGCAAGAUUUUUCACAUUAGCCAGUCGGAAGUGGACCGGAAUUGUCGUUCUCUAGGUAUAUUCGAGACGCAGUGUAUCGUAGAGAGAAUCUCUCUAUAUACACGUUAAAGCUGACGUCGUACGGUCUCCUCCUCCAUGGGUCGAUCGAUAAACGCAAAACCGAGUUGCGCCUUUUUGCGCCGCUAAGAAACAGACGGACUAUUGUACUUUCGAGUACAGUUCGUACCAAUUCCGAUUUCGCACCAAUGACGCUUCGUGAUUCGCCAGAUUUAUGUUUGAGAAGCUUGGUAGAAAAGUGGUACAGGUGUGUUUUUUGUACGAAUGUGCACUGCAUAGAUGAACUGCAAACUACACGUAAGAUCCGCAUCCAUUUAGAGGAUCUUGUUAUAAAGUUUCGAGAUUUUAUGAGUUCUCGUAAUAAUACAUUUUAAUGCGCGAUCACUGUGAUGUAUAUACUGCGCGUGUCCUAGAACGGAUAGUGGUAGAGUUAUAUUAGUAAAGGUUUCCAAGAUUCGCAAGCGUCUCUUUAUCGAUCUAAUCUAUUGUCCGAAAGAAAUCCGUAAAAGAAUCGCAGCUAUUUCUCCGCACAGAAGCUCGUAAUUGGGAUAUCGAUUUUUAAUUGCAAGUACGACGCGAUUCUUAUCGUGCAGCUGCGAUUUAUUAAUUGUUCGUUCCCCGAGGCGUAUGCAUUUUCUCGAAACAGCGUCGCAACGACGUAGCGUAGAUUCUUAGGAUUUUCAGACACGUAAGAAUAUACAUUGUUACCCGUCAGAGUUUCGUAACGGACUAAUCGGAAUACUUAGCUCGUCAAUUGAGAAACCGGCAUUCGUCGGAUAACAACGAACUUGGUAGGAAGAUCAUAUGCGAUAAUCCUAAUUAGAAUUAUAAGCUAACACGCGAAAACUACAAGCCUCGUAGCCUUCGAAUAUGUUCACCUUCGGCUAUGAAAUUGCGGUAUUCGAAGACAUUGAACAGAUGUAUAGGUUCAACCUUCGCUUCGAGCUUCGAUCGAGUUCGAAGACACGCAAGACACGAUUCGUUCGAUCUUCGCGAGGCGUGAACUUUAACAUUUAACGUUUCAAGGAUCUGAAACGACUUAGGCGGCGCAGAUUCACGAAAAUCGAUGGUGAAGCGUGCCGAGAUCGGAUGUCACCUGGCAUACUGUAGUCGUUCAUGGUUGUGACCCGUUACACGGCUAGGAUUUGACCGUUCGAUUCCUUUCUCGUACGCCACGCAGUUUCGUAGCCCGUGUUUUGCCUCGUUAUGCAUGCACGUAACGCAUUCUUGCGCAAGCAGAAGCAAACGUCCGAUUUUCGAUCGUAGCAGUGUCGUAUAACGAGUGAGAAUGUAUAUGCGUUUUGUAUGCUCGAUUCUUGUCGUCGGCUUGCCAAAUCUUCGUUAGGGCAUCCCCAAUAUGCGCAGUGCGAGUAGCAUCAGUCAGGCUCGUGGAAAAUUAGCUUCUAACUUUAGUGCACAAUUAUAUCGUGCUGUGUCUUGUAUACGGCGUGUAACGUGUUGGCUGGCAAAUAUGAUGGAGCCAGCUACGAUCGUCGAGAAGCCGGUUAGUUAUUAAGUUCUUGCUUAAUACCGUACGUGCGGUGAAUUUGUCGCUUUUUUCUCGUCGAUCGUGGUAUAGCAUAGCUUGAAAGUGAGGUAGGCUACAAGAUUGAAUUUGCAGAUAAAAAGGGUUUGGUUUGCACUGGUCGAUGGCUGAUCGGUUGGUACCGGUUGGUAAUGGUUGGAUGGUCGGCUGUGAACGACAAACACGUGGAAACGUUUCAGACUAUGGCAUAUAUAAUAUACGAAGAAAAUUGUAGCACUGGCGCUGGUAAUUACACUUAAUAGGCUAGAUAUGGUAUACAUAGUAGAAAAGGAACAUUGAAUUACCCGAGAAAUAAAACAUCAAUUAAUUUUUAACGCUUGGAAUAUGAAAUAUGGAAAAAGUUGUGUAUGCAAAUAGAAGUGCACGUGAGAAAAGUCAGAAGUAAUUUUGAUCGGUACCGUAUGCCGGCUGGUACUGCACGAUUCUCCCCUA